CAGCAGCCACGGUAAUACAGAGGGUGCGAGCGUUAAUCGGAUUUACUGGGCGUAAAGCGUGCGUAGGCGGCUUUUUAAGUCGGAUGUGAAAUCCCUGAGCUUAACUUAGGAAUUGCAUUCGAUACUGGGAAGCUAGAGUAUGGGAGAGGAUGGUAGAAUUCCAGGUGUAGCGGUGAAAUGCGUAGAGAUCUGGAGGAAUACCGAUGGCGAAGGCAGCCAUCUGGCCUAAUACUGACGCUGAGGUACGAAAGCAUGGGGAGCGAACAGGAUUAGAUACCCGUGUAGUCCCUGUCUCUUAUAC
Molecule: ribosomal RNA, 301 nt
Filed under: uncultured bacterium
Lineage: Bacteria
Description: partial 16S ribosomal RNA
Rfam family: Bacterial small subunit ribosomal RNA
Source: RNAcentral